AACGAACGCUGGCGGCAUGCCUAACACUUGCAAGUCGAACGAGACCUUCGGGUCUAGUGGCGCACGGGUGCGUAACGCGUGGGAACCUGCCCUUAGGUUCGGAAUAACUCCCCGAAAGGGGUGCUAAUACCGGAUAAUGUCUUCGGACCAAAGAUUUAUCGCCUUUGGAUGGGCCCGCGUUGGAUUAGCUAGUUGGUAGGGUAAAAGCCUACCAAGGCGACGAUCCAUAGCUGGUCUGAGAGGAUGAUCAGCCACACUGGGACUGAGACACGGCCCAGACUCCUACGGGAGGCAGCAGUGGGGAAUAUUGGACAACGGGCGAAAGCCUGAUCCAGCAAUGCCGCGUGAGUGAUGAAGGCCUUAGGGUUGUAAAGCUCUUUUACCCGGGAUGAUAAUGACAGUACCGGGAGAAUAAGCUCCGGCUAACUCCGUG
Molecule: ribosomal RNA, 433 nt
Filed under: uncultured bacterium
Lineage: Bacteria
Description: partial 16S ribosomal RNA
Rfam family: Bacterial small subunit ribosomal RNA
Source: RNAcentral